Molecule: ribosomal RNA, 641 nt
Filed under: Vibrio sp.
Lineage: Bacteria; Pseudomonadati; Pseudomonadota; Gammaproteobacteria; Vibrionales; Vibrionaceae
Description: bacterial SSU rRNA
Rfam family: Bacterial small subunit ribosomal RNA
Source: RNAcentral
UUAUCUGAACCUUCGGGGAACGAUAACGGCGUCCAGCGGCGGACGGGUGAGUAAUGCCUAGGAAAUUGCCCUGAUGUGGGGGAUAACCAUUGGAAACGAUGGCUAAUACCGCAUGAUGCCUACGGGCCAAAGAGGGGGACCUUCGGGCCUCUCGCGUCAGGAUAUGCCUAGGUGGGAUUAGCUAGUUGGUGAGGUAAGGGCUCACCAAGGCGACGAUCCCUAGCUGGUCUGAGAGGAUGAUCAGCCACACUGGAACUGAGACACGGUCCAGACUCUUACGGGAAGCAGCAGUGGGGAAUAUUGCACAAUGGGCGCAAGCCUGAUGCAGCCAUGCCGCGUGUGUGAAGAAGGCCUUCGGGUUGUAAAGCACUUUCAGUCGUGAGGAAGGUGGUGUAGUUAAUAGCUGCAUUAUUUGACGUUAGCGACAGAAGAAGCACCGGCUAACUCCGUGCCAGCAGCCGCGGUAAUACGGAGGGUGCGAGCGUUAAUCGGAAUUACUGGGCGUAAAGCGCAUGCAGGUGGUUUGUUAAGUCAGAUGUGAAAGCCCGGGGCUCAACCUCGGAAUAGCAUUUGAAACUGGCAGACUAGAGUACUGUAGAGGGGGGUAGAAUUUCAGGUGUAGCGGUGAAAUGCGUAGAGAU